UUCGUCCUACGGGGCGCAGCAGUGGGGAAUAUUGCACAAUGGGGGAAACCCUGAUGCAGCGACGCCGCGUGAGUGAAGAAGUAUUUCGGUAUGUAAAGCUCUAUCAGCAGGGAAGAAAAUGACGGUACCUGACUAAGAAGCCCCGGCUAACUACGUGCCAGCAGCCGCGGUAAUACGUAGGGGGCAAGCGUUAUCCGGAUUUACUGGGUGUAAAGGGAGCGUAGACGGCAGCGCAAGUCUGAAGUGAAAUCCCAUGGAUUAACCAUGGAACUGCUUUGGCAACUGUGCAGCUGGAGUGCAGGAGG
RNAcentral lists this ribosomal RNA (305 nucleotides) under uncultured bacterium. RNAcentral describes it as "bacterial SSU rRNA". It matches the Rfam family "Bacterial small subunit ribosomal RNA", at positions 333 to 655 of the family's 1533-position model. The record is from RNAcentral.